Molecule: long non-coding RNA, 119 nt
Filed under: Ictidomys tridecemlineatus (thirteen-lined ground squirrel)
Lineage: Eukaryota; Metazoa; Chordata; Mammalia; Rodentia; Sciuridae
Description: lncRNA (ENSSTOG00000033424.1)
Source: RNAcentral
AGGAAGUUCUCUGAGGCACUCCCUGGCCAUCCUGGGGUCACCAAACUCAAGAGAUUUCUCGGGCAAAUCAGUGUUGAUUGAUUAUUUCUCACGUGCUGCUGAUGUCCACUGUGGCUUCC